This 309-nucleotide ribosomal RNA is filed under the name uncultured archaeon. RNAcentral describes it as "bacterial SSU rRNA". It matches the Rfam family "Archaeal small subunit ribosomal RNA", at positions 526 to 834 of the family's 1478-position model. The record is from RNAcentral.
CGGAUCUGUAAGUCCGUUGUGAAAUCCACGCGCUUAACGUGUGGGCGUGCAACGGAUACUGCAGGUCUAGGAACCGGAGGGUGUCGAGGCUAUUCCCGGGGUAGGAGUGAAAUCCUAAAAUCCCGGGAGGAGCGCCUGUGGCGAAAGCGCUCGACAACUACGGAUUCGACGGUGAGGAACGAAAGCCGGGGGAGCAAAGCGGAUUAGAUACCCGCGUAGUCCCGGCCGUAAACAAUGUGCGUUUGAUGUCAGACAACCCUUGUGGUUGUUUGGUGCCGAAGGAAAACCGUUAAACGCACCGCCUGGGGA